UGGGGUGUAGCUCAGAGGUAGAGUGCUUAUUUGCCAUGCGAGGCCCUGAGUUAGAUCCUCAGCACUGCAA
RNAcentral lists this transfer RNA (70 nucleotides) under Heterocephalus glaber (naked mole-rat). It matches the Rfam family "tRNA". Rfam says of the family: Transfer RNA (tRNA) molecules are approximately 80 nucleotides in length. Their secondary structure includes four short double-helical elements and three loops (D, anti-codon, and T loops). Lineage: Eukaryota; Metazoa; Chordata; Mammalia; Rodentia; Bathyergidae. The record is from Rfam by way of RNAcentral.